CCGGUUGGCUGGGUGCGUUGACUUCUGGGUGCGGGGUUACAAGGAUGCCCCAGCCCGGUUCAUGCAGCGGAUUAGGUUUCCCCGGAGAGGUGGAGGGCUACUCACCAGGAGAAGCCCAGAGAGAGGGGAAUUCCUGACGAACCACAGAUGAUCAAAGCUGGAUGAAAUGCUCAAUCAAAUUGGAGAAAAUCACAUUAGACUAUGAAAACUAUGAAAUUGAGAAGACCUAAUUAUUGUCACUGGGAAAUAUGAAAGUGGAUUAGCUAUGGAAAAAACUGAGCAAUUCAUUCACCACAAACAGAGAUGAUCUGCAUGGAUUAGUUUCAUGUCAAUUCAGCCCAUCCUUCAACAUCUGCAGAGAAAGGACAAAGGGAAUUUGGAGAAAAUGCAACUAAACUGAAUCCUGGUGCAUAGCAAUCAUGAGGCAAUGAGAAGGGUUUCAGUCCAUGGAACGUUCUAAAUCUGCCUGUGAGCCGGGGAACCGCUCACUCCAGCAGGUGAGCACCUGCACCACAGCCUGCAUGCCGCAGUGAGCCCAGAAGGCCAGAUCACUGUCUCCACAGUAUUCAGCCCAGUGCUCAGGACUUGGUCAGUGACUGACCGAUUCCUCAUUUUGAAUCCCGCUUCCUACUGAGAAGGCAAAUAUAUUCAUGAUGUUCUUCACUUAUUUCCACAAUGGCUGUAAUGUUGGCUAUAAAUAUGAA
This is a long non-coding RNA of Rhinolophus ferrumequinum (greater horseshoe bat), 704 nucleotides long. RefSeq lists it as uncharacterized. The record is from RefSeq and is a predicted model, not a curated record. The transcript has 4 exons. Lineage: Eukaryota; Metazoa; Chordata; Mammalia; Chiroptera; Rhinolophidae.